AAUAGCGGCGGACGGGUGAGUAACGCGUGAGCAAUCUGCCCUAUACAGGGGGAUAACACAGGGAAACUUGUGCUAAUACCGCAUAAAAUACCGAUAUGGCAUCAUAAUGGUAUCAAAGGAGAAAUCCGGUAAAGGAUGAGCUCGCGUCCGAUUAGCUAGUUGGUGGGGUAAAGGCCUACCAAGGCGACGAUCGGUAGCCGAACUGAGAGGUUGAUCGGCCACAUUGGGACUGAGACACGGCCCAGACUCC
Molecule: ribosomal RNA, 250 nt
Filed under: uncultured bacterium
Lineage: Bacteria
Description: partial 16S ribosomal RNA
Rfam family: Bacterial small subunit ribosomal RNA
Source: RNAcentral